UUACUGGGCGUAAAGCGGGCGCAGACGGUUACUUAAGCAGGAUGUGAAAUCCCCGGGCUCAACCUGGGAAUUGCGUUCUGAACUGGGUGGCUAGAGUGUGUCAGAGGGGGGUAGAAUUCCACGUGUAGCAGUGAAAUGCGUAGAGAUGUGGAGGAAUACCGAUGGCGAAGGCAGCCCCCUGGGAUAGCACUGACGUUCAUGCCCGAAAGCGUGGGUAGCAAACAGGAUUAGAUACCCUGGUAGUCCACGCCCUAAACGAUGUCGAUUAGCUGUUGGGCAACUUGAUUGCUUGGUAGCGAAGCUAACGCGUGAAAUCGACCGCCUGGGGAGUACGGUCGCAAGAUUAAAACUCAAAGGAAUUGACGGGGACCCGCACAAGCGGUGGAUGAUGUGGAUUAAUUCGAUGCAACGCGAAGAACCUUACCUGGUCUUGACAUGUACGGAACCUUCCGGAGACGGAAGGGUGCCUUCGGGAGCCGUAACACAGGUGCUGCAUGGCUGUCGUCAGCUCGUGUCGUGA
RNAcentral lists this ribosomal RNA (520 nucleotides) under uncultured bacterium. RNAcentral describes it as "bacterial SSU rRNA". It matches the Rfam family "Bacterial small subunit ribosomal RNA", at positions 551 to 1070 of the family's 1533-position model. The record is from RNAcentral.